GAAAUGCGAUAAGUAAUGUGAAUUGCAGAAUUCAGUGAAUCAUCGAAUCUUUGAACGCACCUUGCGCUCCUUGGCAUUCCGAGGAGCAUGCCUGUUUGAGUGUCGUCAAAUUCUCAAAACCUCCUACCUGAUGUGGACCAUUGUCGACGCAUAGAUUAUCCGUCUAUGUGGAGGGUGCGUGCUCCCUGCACCCAACACUCCUCCGCCUUUGGUCCACUACUUCUUCAGGCAGUGGGUUCUGGAUCGGUGGAGGAUGCAUUGCUGGCUAACUCUUUGCUUUGCUUCUCUGAAAUGGAUCGGCGUUACGGCUUCGUUGUCGGUAUAUGAUACAUAUACAUGUCUUACCUGCUUCCAAGCUGCUCCAGCCUUGAACACAAACACGCUCUCACUAUUUGACCUC
RNAcentral lists this unclassified non-coding RNA (400 nucleotides) under uncultured fungus. Its description in RNAcentral is "sequence contains ITS1". The stretch from base 1 to 105 matches the Rfam family "5.8S ribosomal RNA", at positions 50 to 154 of the family's 154-position model. Lineage: Eukaryota; Fungi. The record is from RNAcentral.